This is an RNA transcript of Stegostoma tigrinum, 3467 nucleotides long. It is a transcript of the gene named CD74 molecule, major histocompatibility complex, class II invariant chain b, with no coding region annotated. Lineage: Eukaryota; Metazoa; Chordata; Chondrichthyes; Orectolobiformes; Stegostomatidae. The record is from RefSeq and is a predicted model, not a curated record. The transcript is spliced from 12 exons.
UAGGGACUUUCCAAGCCGUCUGAGCACGAACUUCCUCCUCAGCAUUGGCUGAGCGGCAAUUAAAAAAAAACCCAGAUCAACCUGCACAUAUCGCUCUGUCUCAGCUCUGGAGUGAAGUCUCUUGUGUUGUAGGUAGCUCUGUCUCAGUUCAGCUUAGUGGAGACUGUCUCAUCAUGUCAGCCGACGAGCAGCAGAAUGCUUUGCUGAACAAUUCGCAGCAGGAUAUCGCUAGCCAGACUAGUGUGGAAACGAGGACUACUGUCGCCAGCCAGAGCAGCCGCACCCGCUCCAAGGGCCUUCUCUGGGGUGGUGUGACCGUGUUGGCGGCCAUACUGAUCGCCGGGCAAGUUGCCAGCGUUGUUUUUUUGGUGAAGCAGCAGGGCACGAUAACCCGCCUGCAGCAGACGACCAAUCUCAUCCAGCAGAAGUACACCUCAAGCCAGAACCGACUCCCAUCUAAGCCAAUGAUGCAUGUCAAACCUAUGAUUUUAGACAUGCCCAUGGCCUACAUUGACCCAAAUGCAGAACAUCCAAAGUCUCCGAAACCCACUCCUGCCAAACCCCUGACUGUGCUGGAACAAGUGCGGGAACUGCUGAAGAAAGAGAAUGUAACCAACGAGAUUCCAGAAUUUAACAGCACUUUCUCUGCCAACCUCGACCUGCUGCGAAGCAGCAUGACGGAAUCUGAAUGGCAGGGCUUCGAAACUUGGCUCCGAAACUGGCUCUUCUUCCAGCUCAUUCAAGAGAAGAAGCCUGCUCCAACAACCAGUGCACCCCGAUUCGACCCUAUGCCUGAACCUAAACCUAAACCAAGUGAGAGAAAGAUUUUCUCCAGUGUUGUGGUGAAGCCAAUGAUGGUUAACCUUCCAGAACCUGAAAAAGCUCCUGUAUCAAAGAAAGUGCGCAGCGUGGACACCGAGUGUGAGAGACGUCGCCAAGCGAAGAUUGUUCCUGGAGUUUACCGCCCCACUUGUGAUGAGAUGGGAAAUUAUGAGGCAAAGCAAUGUUGGCCGAGCACAGGCUUCUGCUGGUGCUCCUAUCCGAAUGGAACAGAGAUCUCAGGAACAUCCACACGCGGGCAUUUAAGCUGCGAACUGCGCAGCGUGGACACCGAGUGUGAGAGACGUCGCCAAGCGAAGAUUGUUCCUGGAGUUUACCGCCCCACUUGUGAUGAGAUGGGAAAUUAUGAGGCAAAGCAAUGUUGGCCGAGCACAGGCUUCUGCUGGUGCUCCUAUCCGAAUGGAACAGAGAUCUCAGGAACAUCCACACGCGGGCAUUUAAGCUGCGAACGCUUUAUAAACUAAGAUGAUCUGAGCGUGUCUGGCUUGGCAGCAAAUCUAAAGCAGUGUUCUCUGAAACGGCUUAGUGUGAAGGCGCAUUAACGGUGAAUUAAGAGCUCGCGGUGGACAAGCAAGCAAAAUCUGACUGGCUUCACUCCAGAAAUUAUACAUUAAUUGCAACUUCUGAUUUUUAUUAACCUUGGGUAUGAUUGCUAACUGUUGAGAGCUGAUCUCCUUAUCUGGCUGAUGUACUUUCCAUUUUUGUUCAAGACUUACCCUCUGAUUUUAUUUUAAACAGAAAAACAAAUUGCCCAAAUCUUUGACAUCGCUCACGUUACUUCCCUAAAAAGAGUACUGUUUCCACUAGACAUUCCAUAGGAAUAUUUUGGUCCCAUUUCCUUGCAGAGUGUGGUUACAACACCUGAUUGUGCCCAGCACCCUCACCAGAAGUUUGUUCUGUUCUCCUGCCAAUUAUGGCUGGAGAACUAGAAUGACAUCCCACAGAUUUCAAAGUCCCCUAAGCUUGUCAAUGAGUUGCUUUGGAAAUUCAAGAGACCUGGAUUUUAAAAUGCCACACAGGACCGAUGUAAUUGUGUGAAUCCCAAAGAAUUCUAGACUGCUACAAAGGAAAAUCAGUAGCCUUGUAGUGGAACCCCGGAAUUAGUAAUAGUCUUUCGGUAACACAAAAAACCUGGAUGAGAUACAAAAGAGGAUGAUGGUUUUGAAGUUGGCUCUCUUCAUUAGGAGGCGUUCUGCUGAUGAGUUCCAACCCUCCUGGCUUGUCCACCUCAAUUUGAAAUUAAGACCCCAAUUCAUUCAUUUACUCUGGUUUACUACGCUGGACUAACUGCAGUGGUGGAAUAUCACCACAUAGACAGCAGAAGAAGAUUAUCAUCCUGCGUCAACUGGGAUGCUCCGUAAAUGUCAGCUUUGACAGCCCCCACCCCCACCAAAUUUGGGUUUGUCAGUGGGCAGAAACAGUAAAUGUUGGCCUUGCCUGCACCACCAUCCCCCCCUACACACACACACACACACACACACACACACACACACACACACACACACACACAUAUUUGGGUUUGUCAGUGGGCAGAAACACGUUCCUUGAUAGUUUUGCUUUUUGAAGUGAAGUGAUUUUUGCCCACCAGUCCAUACUUUCGGAGUUUGAGCCUGUUGGCGAGAUAUCACUUUAUAUUCCCAAGCCAUCCUUCACCAGAUCCCAUAUUAUAACUGUGUAACUGUUUUGUUUUUGAUUAUGUAGAACAGAAAUAGACCUAACGGCUCAGCCAAUCCAUGCUGGUGUUCAUACUUCACUAGGCUCUUCUCCCUUAUUUUCUCACCUAAAUUGGCCAUCGUAAUCCUUCUCCCACAAAGGCUUGAUGAUAAAUAACAAGGUGGAUAUAAUCCUGAUGAGGGACCAUCAGCAGAAGGUCAUUAUACACAAUCGCUUUUUUAAAAAGCUGGUAUUGUCUGUAAGCUACUUGUGAAAACUGUCAUUGCUUCCUGAUUUUUUUAAUUAUUAUUUGUAACGCAAUGGUGAUCGCUUAACUGUCGAUGGGGAUAAUUAUUUUGCAAUAAAGGGAGGGAAUUCUGUUCGUGUGUUCUAUUUUGGACAAUAGAGGUGUCUAGAUCUGGCUUCAAAUGAAAAGUUAAGUCUGUGUCUGGUUCUUGGAGCCCAGAAACAAGGCCUUAAUCCUUUUAUCAAGGCCGAUGAGGGUGAGUAGUGACUGGAAACGAUUUAAUGGCAGGGUUGCCAAAUUUCUGGGAGCCUUCAAAAAUGACCAAUCAAUUGACAGGACAAUGCUAGUGAAGAAUCAUCAUUGGCACAUAUCAAAAUAAUUCUGUGUGUUGUUUCUUUCGAGCCUUUAUGGGUGGUAGUGUGGGUAAAAAAGCCACUUUGGUUGACACUGGAGCCUCAGCCUAAUCUUCGAGCUACGGGCCUGGUUAUUUGGGAUGGGUGUGCAGGUUGGGUGAACAUUGGCAGGAAUUUCUGGAUGAGGAGAUGGGGAUAGUAGGUCAUAUGAUGAAGCCUCCUGGAAUAUGACAGACUACCAUUCAGAACUCAGUUUUUCAGUGCUUUUGUCUUUUUUUUUGUUUCCUGCGCAUUCAUGUACUCAGGAUCAAGGCAACUAUUCUAGAAAGAAAAAGUAAAAUCUGAAAGGCCAUGAGAAUAAAGACUUGACGAAA